RNAcentral lists this unclassified non-coding RNA (334 nucleotides) under soil metagenome. RNAcentral describes it as "partial contains 5.8S ribosomal RNA, internal transcribed spacer 2, and large subunit ribosomal RNA". The stretch from base 1 to 120 matches the Rfam family "5.8S ribosomal RNA", at positions 35 to 154 of the family's 154-position model. The record is from RNAcentral.
GAUGAAGAACGCAGCGAAAUGCGAUAAGUAAUGUGAAUUGCAGAAUUCAGUGAAUCAUCGAAUCUUUGAACGCUCAUUGCGGCCGCCAGUAUUCUGGCGGGCAUGCCUGUUCGAGCGUCAUUUCAACCAUCAAGCCCCCGGCUUGUGUUGGGGACCUGCGGCUGCCGCAGGCCCUGAAAUGCAGUGGCGGGCUCGCUGUCACUCCGAGCGUAGUAGUUACAUCUCGCUCUGGGCGUGCUGCGGGUUCCGGCCGUUAAAAGCCUUAUUUACCCAAGGUUGACCUCGGAUCAGGUAGGAAGACCCGCUGAACUUAAGCAUAUCAAUAAGCGGAGGA